AAAUGCCCAUAUCUCCCUGGUCCUCAUGUUCCCACCCCCUGACCUCCAGUUCCUAAAGGGCGGCGGUCCAGGCUCUGCAGUGGGGGGUGACCUGGGGUUGGGG
Phyllostomus discolor (pale spear-nosed bat) is the source of this 103-nucleotide long non-coding RNA. RefSeq lists it as uncharacterized. Lineage: Eukaryota; Metazoa; Chordata; Mammalia; Chiroptera; Phyllostomidae. The transcript has 4 exons. The record is from RefSeq and is a predicted model, not a curated record.